CUAGUAUUAACUCCCAUUUUCUUGCUGGAACUAUUGUCUUCAACCUUCCUUGCCAAUGCCACAACUUCUAUGAGUUGUUUCGGGCAGAACUCUUCAAAAUAUUCAGCUACUGCCCAAGACCCUUGAGAACAAUGUUGGUAUUGUUUGUGGAGCAAUUGUUAAUAAUUAACUGUUAGAAGUCGACUCUUCUUUAUUUUUCUUGGUGAAAGCUUAGAUUCUUAAAAGAAAAAAGAAAAGUAUAUUGUAUUGUAUGCCUUGAUUCUGUCUUCUUACUUCCUGAAAAAUAAUGUGUUUAUUAUUAACGGAUUAUAUAUCAUGAUUGAUGUAUCAACUUUGUGACUAGUGGUUUGUGACUACAUAUAUUUUCGAGUCUUUUGACAUGGAAAUCCAUAAUUCACAUAUUCGUUGUCUUGCUAUAUAGGGGUACCCGAAACAUACAUUAUAGAGUUUAUAACCUUGUAUUUUACAUUUCUAUGAGUACAUUCGUUAUCUCAAAAUUCUUUUUACCUAAAAA
This is a long non-coding RNA of Cucurbita maxima (winter squash), 514 nucleotides long. RefSeq lists it as uncharacterized. The record is from RefSeq and is a predicted model, not a curated record. NCBI's taxonomy places the organism in Eukaryota, Viridiplantae, Streptophyta, Magnoliopsida, Cucurbitales, Cucurbitaceae. The transcript has 2 exons.